UUGGUUUGUUGUUUUAUUUUAAUGGUGUUGUUGCUUACACUAGUUUGAUUUAUGAAUCAAAUUGGUCAUAUAUUGUAUAUAAGUAUCAGACACAUGUAAGAUGAGAAGGUGAAUUUGAAUGGUAACCUAGAUCUCAUCAUAAUGAUUUUGUGGAGAUAUUUAACAAAAAUAUAUAUUAUUUUUAAUUUACACACUUUUAAUAUUUUCAUAGACAAAAGAGUGAACAUGAG
This 230-nucleotide long non-coding RNA is filed under the name Elaeis guineensis (African oil palm). RNAcentral describes it as "long non-coding RNA (EGUI_LNC045810)". Lineage: Eukaryota; Viridiplantae; Streptophyta; Magnoliopsida; Arecales; Arecaceae. The record is from RNAcentral.